GAGGAAUAUUGGGCAAUGCCCGCAAGGGUGACCCAGCAACGCCGCGUGGAGGAUGAAUGUCGUAAGAUUGUAAACUCCUGUUAGAGGGGAAGAAUAGUACCGGUUGGACCGGUAUAUGACUGUACCCUCAGAGAAAGCCCCGGCUAACUACGUGCCAGCAGCCGCGGUAAUACGUAGGGGGCAAGCGUUGUCCGGAUUUACUGGGUGUAAAGGGCGCGCAGGCGGGAUAAAAAGUCAGUGGUGAAAUCCUACAGCUUAACUGUAGAACUGCCUUUGAUACUGUUAUUCUUGAGUUCGGGAGAGAGAGACGGAAUUCCAGGUGUAGUGGUGAAAUACGUAGAUAUCUGGAAGAACACCAGUUGCGAAGGCGGUCUCUUGGUCCGACACUGACGCUGAGGCGCGAAAGCGUGGGGAGCAAACA
Molecule: ribosomal RNA, 421 nt
Filed under: uncultured bacterium
Lineage: Bacteria
Description: bacterial SSU rRNA
Rfam family: Bacterial small subunit ribosomal RNA
Source: RNAcentral